Molecule: ribosomal RNA, 253 nt
Filed under: uncultured bacterium
Lineage: Bacteria
Description: partial 16S ribosomal RNA
Rfam family: Bacterial small subunit ribosomal RNA
Source: RNAcentral
UACGUAGGGUGCAAGCGUUAAUCGGAAUUACUGGGCGUAAAGCGUGCGUAGGCGGCUACGUAAGUCGGAUGUGAAAUCCCUGGGCUUAACCUGGGAACUGCAUUCGAUACUGCGUGGCUAGAGUACGGUAGAGGGUGGCGGAACUCCGGGUGUAGCGGUGAAAUGCGUAGAUAUCCGGAAGAACACCGAUGGCGAAGGCAACCACCUGGGCCUGUACUGACGCUGAGGCACGAAAGCGUGGGGAGCAAACAGG